This 298-nucleotide ribosomal RNA is filed under the name uncultured bacterium. RNAcentral's name for it is "partial 16S ribosomal RNA". It matches the Rfam family "Bacterial small subunit ribosomal RNA", at positions 484 to 776 of the family's 1533-position model. The record is from RNAcentral.
UUAGAAACCCUAGUAGUCCACAUCGGGUGCCAGCAGCCGCGGUAAUACGAAGGGGGCUAGCGUUGUUCGGAAUUACUGGGCGUAAAGCGCACGUAGGCGGAUAUUUAAGUCAGGGGUGAAAUCCCAGAGCUCAACUCUGGAACUGCCUUUGAUACUGGGUAUCUUGAGUAUGGAAGAGGUGAGUGGAAUUCCGAGUGUAGAGGUGAAAUUCGUAGAUAUUCGGAGGAACACCAGUGGCGAAGGCGGCUCACUGGUCCAUUACUGACGCUGAGGUGCGAAAGCGUGGGGAGCAAACAGG